AACUCUCUCACCGUAACUCAGUCUCACUCUCUCUCUCUGCCUCUCCAGUCCUCACCGUCACUCUCUCUCUCUGCCUCUCCAAUCUCCGCCUCUCCUCACCGUCACUCUCUCUAGUCUCCGCCUCUCCUCGCCAUCGUUUCCACCCCUACCUUCCUCCAAAUCGCCGAUCGAGUUGAAAACCUCCUCCACGAUGUGCCUGAAGCUGGUGGGCGUGAAGUUUAAAAUGCUGGAUGAGCUCUUACGUGAUGAUUAAUAUUGGAAAUUCUUUAGGAUUGGCUAGGACCAAACUCAAGCAAACUGAGGUGGACUGUGAGUUCCUGAAGAAGUGCUGUGAAACACUGACUGAUGAAAAUAGAAGGCUACAAAAAGAGCUUCAAGAACUGAAAGCAUUGAAACUAGCCCAACCCUUAAUGGAGGACACUUCUAAGCUUACUGAAUGUAGAACCAAGUCAAUGAUGGUUUCAGCAGACGAGGCUCUCCAAAUAGUAUUAAGUGUGGCUCAACGUCUACCGCCUGUGACUGUUCCCCUUCUCGAUGCUCUUGGCAAGGUCUUGGCUGAGGAUAUUCGCGCACCUGAUCCUUUGCCCCCUUAUCCAGCUUCUGUUAAGGAUGGUUAUGCUGUAAUUGCUGCAGAUGGGCCAGGUGAAUAUUCAGUUAUUGCUGAAGCUAGAGCCGGGAAUGAUGGAGUUGGAGUGAUUGUGACUCCUGGAACUGUUGCAUAUGUAACAACUGGAGGACCAAUACCUGAUGGUGCUGAUGCAGUUGUUCAAGUUGAGGACACUGAGCAAAUUGAAAAUGCUUCGGUUGAAUCAAAAAGAGUAAAAAUAUUGGUACAAACUAAUGAAGGUGUUGAUAUACGUCCAGUGGGAUGCGACAUUGAACAAGAUGCCAUAGUUUUAAAAUCUGGAGAAAGAGUAGGUGCUUCAGAAAUUGGCUUACUUGCUGCCGUGGGGGUAACGAUGGUGAAGGUAUAUCCUACCCCGACAAUUGGUGUGCUUUCUACUGGAGAUGAGCUCUCAGAGCCAGCAACCAAGGUUCUGAGUCGUGGCCAGAUUAGGGACUCCAACCGUGCUAUGAUACUGGCAGCUGCAGUACAACAGCAGUGCAAAGUUCUUGACCUUGGCAUUGCUAGGGAUGAUGAAGAUGAACUUGAGAGAAUCUUAGAUACUGCUUUAUCUGCUGGGAUUGAUAUUCUUCUAACUUCUGGAGGUGUUUCCAUGGGAGACAAGGAUUUUGUCAAGCCAUUGCUUGCAAAGAGAGGGACAGUGUAUUAUAGUAAGGUUUUCAUGAAACCAGGGAAACCUUUGACAUUUGCCGAGAUCAAUUUAGAACGAGCAGAGAGCAUAAUGCAGAAAAAAAUACUUGCAUUUGGGUUGCCAGGGAAUCCAGUGAGCUGUAUGGUUUGUUUUGAUCUUUUUGUGGUCCCCACCAUCCGCCAUCUUUCUGGAUGGGGAAACACUCAUCUUUUCAGAGUGCAGGCUCGUCUUCAGCAGCCCAUAAAGACAGAUUUAGCUCGACCAGAAUUCCAUCGUGCCAUUAUUAGGUGGGAAGUCAAUGAUGGCUCAGGCAAUCCUGGUUUUGUUGCUGAAAGCACUGGUUAUCAGAGAAGCAGCCGGCUCUUAAGUAUGAAGGCAGCUAAUGCUUUGUUGGAGUUGCCAGCAAAAGGCGGUGUCAUAUCUGCUGGGACUUCUGUUUCAGCCAUUAUAAUUUCUGACUUAAGCAGUACUUCCAUUUGCAAUAGUUCCUUAUCAUUUGAUUCAACUUCUGCUUCCAAAGGAAGUUCAUCGCAAGAAAUAAUUUCAGAUGAGUCUCAGAAUGCUGAGGUCAGAGUAGCUCUUCUUACAGUGAGUGAUACUGUUGCAUCAGGGGCUGGGCCUGAUCGAAGUGGUCCUAGGGCAGUUUCUGUUGUAAAUUCAUCAUCAGAAAGGUUAGGAGGAGCAAGGGUAGUUGCAACAGCUGUGGUUCCAGAUGAGGUGAGCAAGAUUAAGGAUGUUCUACAGAGAUGGAGUGAUAUUGACAAAAUGGAUCUGAUUCUUACCCUUGGUGGCACUGGUUUCACCCCACGAGAUGUAACCCCUGAAGCAACAAAAGAGCUGAUUGAGAAAGAAACACCUGGUCUCAUACAUGUAAUGACGCAAGAGAGUUUAAAGGUGACACCAUUUGCUAUGCUCUCACGCUCUGCAGCUGGAAUACGGGGAUCAUCAUUGAUCAUCAACAUGCCUGGGAAUCCAAAUGCUGUUGCUGAGUGCAUGGAAGCUUUGUUGCCUGCCCUAAAGCAUGCAUUAAAGCAGAUAAAGGGGGAUAAAAGAGAGAAACAUCCCCGUCAUGUCCCUCAUGCCCAAGCAGCACCUGUAGAUGUGUGGGAGCAUAGUUAUAAAAUGGCAUCUGGUGGCGGCAAAGAGCCUAGUUGUUCUUGUUCCCAUUGAAGAAGUAUUGUGGAGGAGCAGAAAGCAUUUACUAAAAGAUGCAGAAGCUAAGUUCACCCUUGAAGCUCCAAGUCCUUGGGUUGUGAGGGAGGCCAGGUGUUCUCUCACUCUGUGUGUGUGUGCACAUGCAUGCCUUUAUGUGUGUGAGUAGGGGCCAGGAGGAUCACCCUGAGGGAGAGGGGGAACAUUUCUUUUUUGGAAUGCUGAGAUUAUUACAGUGCAAGUACUAUUUGGUAGCUUGGAACAAGAUGCCCUGCUCCUCUUACUGUAGCAGACGUCACUCUGUCGUAUGCAACCACAUAUCCUCAACCUGUCAUAUGAAGAUCUCAUUUUGGUAUGUGGAAUUUUUUUAAUUAAAAGUAUAGUUAUGCCUACCGAUCAAGGUAUAGCCUAGUAGGUGGAGGCUUGGGUUGAGUUGUAGAUCUAGACUUCCUGAAUUCGAUCUCCGCUAGAAGUUUCCCUAGAUUACCUGAUACACAGUUCUACCGGGUGGGAUUGUGUAUUCGUGGUUUACUCUACAGGGGUGGGUCUAGAGGGCCUUGUCUUGGUGAGGUUCCAUGUCAUAAAAAAAAAAUUUAAAAAAAAAAAAAAGGAAAAAGGAAAAAGAAAAAAGAAAAAGUAUAGUUACAUCUUGCCAAACUUUAUAAAAUUAAGGUAUAUCAUGUCAUCAUCAGCUUGGGCUGAAGUUUCCCUUCCACUGCUGAUGCUUUAUGAUUACACUUCUCGCUCUAAUGUUUGUAAAAGUAGAUAUUCUGUAUAAGAUGUCAAUCAUUCUAAUAUCUGUAGAAAAUUAAAGCAAAAGACCAAAGCUGAAAAGGUUUGCAGUAUUUUAUAACAAUGCCACUUGUUUAAUUAGUCUUUGAUUUAAUAAUGCCACUUCCAGUA
Quercus robur (English oak) is the source of this 3311-nucleotide RNA transcript. It is a transcript of the gene named molybdopterin biosynthesis protein CNX1, with no coding region annotated. The transcript is spliced from 18 exons. The record is from RefSeq and is a predicted model, not a curated record. Lineage: Eukaryota; Viridiplantae; Streptophyta; Magnoliopsida; Fagales; Fagaceae.